AACGAACGCUGGCGGCAUGCCUAACACAUGCAAGUCGAACGAUGCUUUCGGGCAUAGUGGCGCACGGGUGCGUAACGCGUGGGAAUCUGCCCUUGGGUUCGGAAUAACAGUGAGAAAUUGCUGCUAAUACCGGAUGAUGUCUUCGGACCAAAGAUUUAUCGCCCAGGGAUGAGCCCGCGUAGGAUUAGCUAGUUGGUGGGGUAAUGGCCUACCAAGGCGACGAUCCUUAGCUGGUCUGAGAGGAUGAUCAGCCACACUGGGACUGAGACACGGCCCAGACUCCUACGGGAGGCAGCAGUGGGGAAUAUAGGACAAUGGGCGCAAGCCUGAUCCAGCAAUGCCGCGUGAGUGAUGAAGGCCUUAGGGUUGUAAAGCUCUUUUACCCGGGAUGAUAAUGACAGUACCGGGAGAAUAAGCUCCGGCUAACUCCGUG
This 433-nucleotide ribosomal RNA is filed under the name uncultured bacterium. RNAcentral's name for it is "partial 16S ribosomal RNA". It matches the Rfam family "Bacterial small subunit ribosomal RNA", at positions 29 to 507 of the family's 1533-position model. The record is from RNAcentral.